UACGUGAAACCGUUCAGGGGUAAACCUAAGAAACCCAAAAGAUCGAACGGGGAGAUUCAUCGUCAGCGGCGCUGGCUUCGCGUCGGUGGGCGAUGUCCCGCGGAGUCCUCGCGGCUCGCGCGCGGGCACGCUACCGUGCGUCGAUGUCCGGCGCUCGUCGUCGUGCACUUCUCCCCAAGUAGAACGUCGCGACCCGCUGGGUGUCGGUCUACGGCCCGGGUGCGGUGACUGUCGCGUCGCCGGUMAAACGGCACGCGACAAACCCCCGGUCGCCCGGCCGGCUGCUCGGCGGUACGCGCAUGGUAUCAGGCCGCACUAUUUUACGGUGCGUCGAGGCCGUCGCAAGCGCGCGCCACGGUACUCGGAGGUUACGGACUUUGCGCCGUCCCCGGUCCUGGUCCGCUGUUGGUUAAAGUACGGUUCACCUUCGACAGGCCUGCGAACGUCUCUCCCCGGAGAGACCGAUACCGGUCGGCGACGCUACUGCUUUGGGUACUCUUAGGACCCGUCUUGAAACACGGACCAAGGAGUCUAACAUGUACGCGAGUCAUUGGGACUUGUCGCGAGACCUAAAGGCGUAAUGAAAGUGAAGGUCGGCCCUGGCCGUCGACCGAGGGAGGAUGGGCCGCGUCGCGAUGCGGCCUCGCACUCCCGGGGCGUCUCGUUCUCAUCGCGAGAAGAGGCGCACCCAGAGCGUACACGUUGGGACCCGAAAGAUGGUGAACUAUGCCUGGUCAGGACGAAGUCAGGGGAAACCCUGAUGGAGGUCCGUAGCGAUUCUGACGUGCAAAUCGAUCGUCGGAACUGGGUAUAGGGGCGAAAGACUAAUCGAACCAU
Molecule: ribosomal RNA, 837 nt
Filed under: Formicidae sp. NZAC 03010742
Lineage: Eukaryota; Metazoa; Arthropoda; Insecta; Hymenoptera; Formicidae
Description: eukaryotic LSU rRNA
Rfam family: Eukaryotic large subunit ribosomal RNA
Source: RNAcentral